CACCCAACAGCUAGCCCACUAAUACAAUAACAACAAAUCACUAUUAAUACCCCUACAUACACGAACAAUUAUGAACACUAAACCAUUCUUCCCCUCCAGUAUAGGAGAUAGAAAAAGGACUACGGAGCAAUAGAGAAAGUACCGCAAGGGAUUGCUGAAAGAGUAAUGAAAUAACCCAGUAAAGCUUUAAAAAGCAGAGAUAGCACCUCGUACCUUUUGCAUCAUGAUUUAGCUAGUGAACCACAAGCGAAGAGCACUUUAGUUUGACCACCCGAAACCAGGGGAGCUACUCCAAGACAGCCUAAGUAUAGGGCGAACCCGUCUCUGUGACAAAAGAGUGGGAUGAGCUUCGAGUAGAGGUGAUAAACCUACCGAACCUGGUAAUAGCUGGUUGCCCGAGAAUUGAAUAGAAGUUCAGCCUCAUGGCUUCUACACUCACCAAGGUACUACUACAGAUUGAUACCCCUAGAAACUAUGAGAGUUAGUCAAAGGGGGUACAGCCCCUUUGAAAUAAGAUACAACUUUUAUGGGAGGAUAAAGAUCAUA
Molecule: ribosomal RNA, 546 nt
Filed under: Neochirus brachypterus (shortfin turkeyfish)
Lineage: Eukaryota; Metazoa; Chordata; Actinopteri; Perciformes; Scorpaenidae
Description: Dendrochirus brachypterus (shortfin turkeyfish) partial 16S large subunit ribosomal RNA
Rfam family: Bacterial large subunit ribosomal RNA (bases 190-546)
Source: RNAcentral